AGGUCGGAUGAAGAUGACGAUGAUUUAGAUUCCAGGGACGAUGAAGAAGUGGACACGGAUGACAUGUUGGAGUCAGUCGAGGAGCGAUCUGACGAAGCCACAUCAGCAGAUGAAGCAGAGAGGAGGUAGAAAGAGAAGUCCGGAUUAUUACUGAAAAUAAAUAAUAAACAAAAAAUGAUGUACUGAUUUCUUUCCUAUAAAACAAAUUUCGUGUGUUGCGUAUAAUAAAAAGCAAUCCCGACGAUGAAUUGUGUGGGCUGAGGUCGCCA
Molecule: long non-coding RNA, 269 nt
Organism: Dermacentor silvarum
Lineage: Eukaryota; Metazoa; Arthropoda; Arachnida; Ixodida; Ixodidae
Exons: 4
Source: RefSeq, a predicted model, not a curated record